AGUGAACGCUGGCGGUAGGCCUAACACAUGCAAGUCGAACGGCAGCACAGUAAGAGCUUGCUCUUACGGGUGGCGAGUGGCGGACGGGUGAGGAAUACAUCGGAAUCUACUUUUUCGUGGGGGAUAACGUAGGGAAACUUACGCUAAUACCGCAUACGACCUACGGGUGAAAGCAGGGGAUCUUCGGACCUUGCGCGAUUGAAUGAGCCGAUGUCGGAUUAGCUAGUUGGCGGGGUAAAGGCCCACCAAGGCGACGAUCCGUAGCUGGUCUGAGAGGAUGAUCAGCCACACUGGAACUGAGACACGGUCCAGACUCCUACGGGAGGCAGCAGUGGGGAAUAUUGGACAAUGGGCGCAAGCCUUAUCCAGCCAUACCGCGUGGGUGAAGAAGGCCUUCGGGUUGUAAAGCCCUUUUGUUGGGAAAAAAAAGAAGCAGGUUAAUACCCCGCUGUUCUGACGGUACCCAAAGAAUAAGCACCGGCUAACUUCGU
This 491-nucleotide ribosomal RNA is filed under the name uncultured bacterium. Its description in RNAcentral is "partial 16S ribosomal RNA". It matches the Rfam family "Bacterial small subunit ribosomal RNA", at positions 29 to 506 of the family's 1533-position model. The record is from RNAcentral.